Molecule: ribosomal RNA, 482 nt
Filed under: uncultured bacterium
Lineage: Bacteria
Description: partial 16S ribosomal RNA
Rfam family: Bacterial small subunit ribosomal RNA
Source: RNAcentral
AUUGAACGCUGGCGGCAUGCCUUACACAUGCAAGUCGAACGGUAACGGGCCUUCGGGUGCCGACGAGUGGCGAACAGAUGAAUAAUACAUAGGAACGUGACCGAUAGUGGGGGAUAACGAGGCGAAAGCUUUGCUAAUACCGCAUACGAUCUACGGAUGAAAGCAGGGGACCGCAAGGCCUUGCGCGGACGGAGCGGCCGAUGGCAGAUUAGGUAGUUGGUGGGAUAAAAGCUUACCAAGCCGACGAUCUGUAGCUGGUCUGAGAGGAUGAUCAGCCACACUGGGACUGAGACACGGCCCAGACUCCUACGGGAGGCAGCAGUGGGGAAUUUUGGACAAAGGGCGCAAGCCUGAUCCAGCCAUGCCGCGUGCAGGAUGAAGGCCUUCGGGUUGUAAACUGCUUUUGUACGGAACGAAAAGCCUUCUUUUAAUACAGGAGGGUCAUGACGGUACCGUAAGAAUAAGCACCGGCUAACUACGUG